RNAcentral lists this ribosomal RNA (253 nucleotides) under uncultured bacterium. RNAcentral describes it as "partial 16S ribosomal RNA". It matches the Rfam family "Bacterial small subunit ribosomal RNA", at positions 524 to 776 of the family's 1533-position model. The record is from RNAcentral.
UACAGAGGUCUCAAGCGUUGUUCGGAUUCAUUGGGCGUAAAGGGCGUGUAGGCGGCGCGCUAAGUCGGGUGUGAAAUUUCGGAGCUUAACUCCGAAACUGCAUUCGAUACUGGCGUGCUUGAGGACUGGAGAGGAGACUGGAAUUCAUGGUGUAGCAGUGAAAUGCGUAGAGAUCAUGAGGAAGACCAGUGGCGAAGGCGGGUCUCUGGACAGUUCCUGACACUGAGGCACGAAGGCCAGGGGAGCAAACGGG